RNAcentral lists this long non-coding RNA (523 nucleotides) under Bos taurus (domestic cattle). Its description in RNAcentral is "long non-coding RNA NONBTAT015406". The record is from RNAcentral. Lineage: Eukaryota; Metazoa; Chordata; Mammalia; Artiodactyla; Bovidae.
GUCUGAGCCGAUCUCAGAAGACAUAUUUAAGUGUUUCCUUUUAGAUGGUUUCUGGUUUGAAGUACAUAAGGACAAUAAGCAGGUUAUAAAAAAGCACUUAACAUUUACCCUGUUCAAUGUUUUACCUGUUUGAGCAUACCUUCUCUGUUAUGACAACUCUGUGCAGGGAAGAAAGAGAGCCUUUUCACCUCGAAGCAGCAGUUUCAGUGGCUGUUUCAAGUGUCACUUUCCAAAUGGAGAUAAUAUCAAAGAAGCGGUACCUUGGGCUUUUCACUAAAGACCAACCUAAAUUCAUUAUUUGAUGAUUUUCGUUGUUCUUUAAACACAAAUUUAUCCAAGUCAUACUUCACGUGAUGAGGACUUGUGCCCCGUGCUCUGCAGCUACAGAGUUGAGUGAGCCUGUGCCCUAGAGGAGAUGAGGGUGCAGUGAGGAGACAGGUCAGCGAGCUGUGGCAUAGCAGGCAGCACUCCCACUGAGGUGGGCUGAGCUUGCUGUGGGCACAGAGGGGUGGAUCCAGCUCGC